GGGCGCCAGACAGUUUGUGAGGUUUUGGCCCUCUCAAAAUCCAAUAACCCCAAACUAGUCUUCCUAUGUGAGACUAGGCAAGAAUCAGCAAAAGUGGAAAAGUUGAGAUGGAGACUUGGUUUGAAAGGCUUUCAUGGAGUAAGUAGUGAUGGGAGAAGCAGCGGUUUAGCCCUAUUCCGGCACGAGUCACUGGCUGUGACUGUUCUUGAAUCCUGCAAACGUUUUAUCGAUGUUCAAGUGGUUGAUGGUGGCUCAGGGACGGCGCGUGGAAGGGCACCUUUGUCUAUGGGGAGCCCCGGGUAA
Molecule: ribosomal RNA, 303 nt
Filed under: Triticum aestivum (bread wheat)
Lineage: Eukaryota; Viridiplantae; Streptophyta; Magnoliopsida; Poales; Poaceae
Description: partial small subunit ribosomal RNA
Source: RNAcentral